RNAcentral lists this unclassified non-coding RNA (1164 nucleotides) under Hevea brasiliensis (rubber tree). Lineage: Eukaryota; Viridiplantae; Streptophyta; Magnoliopsida; Malpighiales; Euphorbiaceae. The record is from RNAcentral.
GAUAAGUCGGGCUUAAAAAGAUCAAUUACUAUUUUAACUAGCUCAUCUAGUGGUAUUAGCUCAUAAGGGUCUAGGUUGAUAGAAGGGAUAGUUAAAAGGCCACAAUUUUCUGAGAGAGCUUGUUUUUGCAAGGCCCAAAAUGUGCUGGGUGGGUGAUUUGCUUUAGUGCUAUUUGUGGACUUGGUUGGUGUUUGGUCUUGGGUAAAAGUAAAUGAGCCUUGUUAUGUAGUAUGCUGUUAGGCCUUGGAGAAAAGGUUUGGUUCAGUGACAUCUACUUCCGAAGAGAUAAAAGAAGGGCUUGUAGAUUUCCCUUUGUAGGGAUGGAGGAGUUUUGACCUUUUUGUCUGAUUUGGGUGGCUAGGGGCAACUGUGCCAUGCUGAAAGUAGGAGAGCAGAUAAAAAUAAUCUUUGAAAAAUCUAGUGGUAUUAACUCCUCCCAUACCAAUACUGGUAAGAUAUUAACAAAAAAAAACUUAGGGAUCUGUUGUCGAGGUAUUUGAGUGCUGCUACUGUCAUUUUUUUAGGGGUUCAAGAUUGAUUCACUGCCUAAUGAAUCUCUAAAAAGGAAGUUUUGUUUCGCAUUCGCACCAAAGCUCUGUUCAGGCCAGAAAUGGUAAGAGUUGCAGCUUAGAUAGAAAUUGGAUGUGGCUUGGUAUGCCAUGGGUUUGGUUUUGAGUUUGAAAAUCUAGGAUCGCUGGCAACUGUGGAAUGCAAGAAGGAGAGUCUGCUACUGCAACAAGUGGUGAGGUAUACCUUAGAUUUGUUUUAUCUGUUAUUUUUGUUGGGAAAGAGAUGACCAUGGUUGUGUUAGGUGAUGUAUUGGAGGUGGAGAAUGGAAGAUGCCCCAAAGGGAUAGGUGGUUGGUUCCAUAUAGGAUUGGUAGUGGCCAAUUGUAGAGCUAUUGUGUUUUGGCUUGAGGGAUGGUUGGUGAUGGCAUUAGGAAUAAAAAGAGGCUUAGGGAUAUAGAGGUUGCAGUGAUGCGGGUUUGUUCUCAUCCAUAGCCCAAAAGUCAGCUUUGAUGUUGUUUUCCCCUCCUCCUCUGUUGAACUCCCGUUCGGACAGCUCCUAAUUAAAUGCCCCAUAAUCCCACAUCCAAAGCAUAUGUUUGGGAGUUUCUCACAGCACAACGUUAUCCAUUGCAUAUUAUAGUUUGAUUUUUUUUUU